UGGGGAAUUUUGGACAAUGGGCGAAAGCCUGAUCCAGCAAUGCCGCGUGUGUGAAGAAGGCCUUCGGGUUGUAAAGCACUUUUGUCCGGAAAGAAAUCCUUGGCUCUAAUACAGUCGGGGGAUGACGGUACCGGAAGAAUAAGCACCGGCUAACUACGUGCCAGCAGCCGCGGUAAUACGUAGGGUGCAAGCGUUAAUCGGAAUUACUGGGCGUAAAGCGUGCGCAGGCGGUUUGCUAAGACCGAUGUGAAAUCCCCGGGCUCAACCUGGGAACUGCAUUGGUGACUGGCAGGCUAGAGUAUGGCAGAGGGGGGUAGAAUUCCACGUGUAGCAGUGAAAUGCGUAGAGAUGUGGAGGAAUACCGAUGGCGAAGGCAGCCCCCUGGGCCAAAUACUGACGCUCAUGCACGAAAGCGUGGGGAGCAAACAGGAUUAGAUACCCUGGUAGUCCACGCCCUAAAACGAUGUCAACUAGUUGUUGGGGAUUCACUUCCUUAGUAACGUAGCUAACGCGUGAAGUUGACCGCCUGGGGAGUACGGUCGCAAGAUUAAAACUCAAUGAAUUGACGGGGUCAUAGCUG
This 580-nucleotide ribosomal RNA is filed under the name uncultured bacterium. Its description in RNAcentral is "partial 16S ribosomal RNA". It matches the Rfam family "Bacterial small subunit ribosomal RNA", at positions 355 to 932 of the family's 1533-position model. The record is from RNAcentral.